RNAcentral lists this ribosomal RNA (253 nucleotides) under uncultured bacterium. RNAcentral describes it as "partial 16S ribosomal RNA". It matches the Rfam family "Bacterial small subunit ribosomal RNA", at positions 524 to 776 of the family's 1533-position model. The record is from RNAcentral.
UACGGGGGGGGCAAGCGUUGUUCGGAAUUACUGGGCGUAAAGGGCUCGUAGGUGGCCAACUAAGUCAGACGUGAAAUCCCUCGGCUUAACCGAGGAACUGCCUGUCAAACUGCAUGGCUUGAGACCGGGAGAGGUGAGUGGAAUUCCCAGUGUAGCGGUGAAAUGCGUAGAUAUUGGGAGGAACACCAGUGGCGAAGGCGGCUCACUGGACCGGUACUGACGCUGAUGCGCGAAAGCGUGGGGAGCAAACAGG